Molecule: ribosomal RNA, 972 nt
Filed under: Triticum aestivum (bread wheat)
Lineage: Eukaryota; Viridiplantae; Streptophyta; Magnoliopsida; Poales; Poaceae
Description: partial small subunit ribosomal RNA
Source: RNAcentral
AUGACGUUCGGGCGAAGACAAGAUACAUGGACAUCAUGCAUCUUUCCACCUUGGCGGUGGUGUGGUGUACAUGUCGUUCACGCUGUCAAUUCAUUGCUACAGCUUCUUCAUCACCUCUCGUGGCUGCUCUUCUUCUCUGGCAGCAGUCGCAGCGGCGCUCUUGCCAUAUACGCCCUUGCCACCCUCUUCAACCGCCAGGGGAGGCAAGAUUGUAGCUCUGGGCAAGGCAAUAGCAUUCUGGAGGUGGUAUGGGCAUCGGUUCUCCUGAUCCACCUGGCCAGGCAGAACCCCAUAACUGCCCACGACAUUGAGGACAAUGAGCUAUGGACGCGACACAUCUUCAUCUCUGUAUGUCAGGUCACCAUAGCCAUCUACGUAUUCUGCAAAUCAUGGCCAGGUGGCGACGUGAGGUUGUUGCUGGCAUCAAUCUUUUUAUUCGUCGUGGCAAUACUCAAAAGCUUUGAGAAGCCCUGGGCCAUCAAGUGCGCUAGCAUUACCGGCCUAGUCAGGUCUUCUGGCCGCACUCGGAGGAGGAACGCAGGCAGAGAAGGCCGGAUCAAUUCGCUUGAAGACUACGUGAGAAACGCAAGGGCAUUUGUCCAGACCAACCCCCGUCGUCAAGCACAAGAAGAAGGUGAUGCAGUGGACGUUAAGCCUGACAACCAUCUUCCUCAAGCACAAGGAGAAGAAGAUUGCAUGGAUCUCGAGGCCGACUAUCAGCCUGGAGCACAUGGAGAAGCUGCCAUGGUGGAUCCUCAGCCUGACAACCAUCCUCUGACCUCAAGCACAUGGAUAAGCCGCCAAAUAAAGAAAACGAAGGAAACCGAUAGAAGGGACAUCAUCCGCCAACGCAAACUAACAAAAAGGCGAGUUGCUGAAUAUAAUAAGGCCCACGAGGUCUAUAAGCUAUUUCUGGACCUUGCAUCACCAUAUGAUGAUCGGAUCCGUACCCAAAUCCAUCUGGGUGCUUGA